GACGGAGAGAAAAAUCAAAGCGCAGCAGUCUAUCAGGGAGAAGAUGAACACGGCGGCCUCCAUCUUCCACUUCCUACUUCUCAACCACUUCCGGUGACAGUGCGCGGGCUGUGCGCGUGUUUGCGCGGAGCGGCAGCGCGCAGAGCGCCAACCUUUGAACGGGAUUCUCCAGUCAUUCCCCGCAGCCGCCUUACUGCUGAGCAGCGUUAGCAGGGGGUGAGCAGAGGUCAAGGCCUGUCUAUCAGCCAGAACCCAUCAGACAUGCCUCCACAGCAACAGGCUGAGGACCAGAACGGAAGGGCAUGAAUGAUCAGCGUAAUCCUCUCCUGCGGCUGGUGUGAAUGUGUAGGCUUCUCUGGGAACGUGAAUCUUUCCGGAAAGCAGCUGCAGAUAUCUCUGUGACAUUGAUGGAUCAAUCUGAACACGAGCAGCUGGAACUCGAAUAACCAUAAAGUUACAGGUGAAACUCCUCAGAACAGGACUCAGUUCCGGUACGGUCCACUAUCAGACAUCAUUGGGUGAGCAGUGCUAAACUGGGCCAGGUGUGUGGUUAUGCGUGCUGCUCAUUAAAAUGUUUUAGACAUGCAACGCUUCUAAACAAGACAAAUUGUAAUAUUUCAGCUAUUUCUCAGACACCCAGACGCAUAGCCUGAAAUUGGCACCAUUCUGGUCAAACCAGGACAUCUGGUUACCCUAGUAAAAAUACUUGGUGUGAAAAUGCUGUACAGUAAAUAACAGUUUAAAAGGUUUUCCCGUUA
Molecule: long non-coding RNA, 758 nt
Organism: Paramormyrops kingsleyae
Lineage: Eukaryota; Metazoa; Chordata; Actinopteri; Osteoglossiformes; Mormyridae
Source: RefSeq, a predicted model, not a curated record